RNAcentral lists this ribosomal RNA (363 nucleotides) under Sergentomyia minuta. RNAcentral's name for it is "partial 12S ribosomal RNA". Lineage: Eukaryota; Metazoa; Arthropoda; Insecta; Diptera; Psychodidae. The record is from RNAcentral.
AUUAUAAAAAUAUAAUAAAAUAAAUUUAGAUUAGUAGUAAAUAUGUUUAUGAAAUUAAAAUAAUUUGGUGGUAUUUUAGUCUAUUCAGAGGAAUUUGUUUUAUAAUCGAUAAUCCUCGUUGUAUCUAACUUAUUUUAUUUAAUUUGUAUAUCGUUGUCAUUAGAAUAUUUUAUAAGAAUAAAAAUUUUCUAGAAUUAAUUAUAAAAUUUUAUGUCAAAUCAAGGUGCAGUUAAUAUUUAAGUAAAAAUGAAUUACAAUAAUAUUUAAUUAUAAUGAAUUUAUAAAAGAAAAAUUAUAUUGAAGGUGGAUUUGAUAGUAAAAAUAAAGAGAUUAUUAUUUUGAUUAUAGCUCUAACAUAUAUAC